UUUCACGGGACCUAUCCCAAAAAGCUUGAGAAAUUGCAGUAGCUUGUUGAGACUCAGACUUGAGAGAAACCAACUUAGUGGAAACAUAUCUGAAGCUUUUGGCACACAUCCUCAUUUGUACUACAUGGAUUUGAGUGAUAAUGAAUUGCACGGUGAACUUUCAUUGAAAUGGGAGCAGUUUAACAAUCUGACCGCCUUCAGAAUUUCUGGAAACAACAUAUCUGGAGAGAUACCAGCUGCUCUUGGAAAGGCAACUCAUCUACAAGCUCUUGACCUCUCGUCAAAUCAACUGGCUGGGAGAAUUCCCAAAGAAUUGGGAAAUUUGAAGUUGAUUGAACUUGCACUCAACGAUAACAGACUUUCAGGUGAUAUUCCUUUCGAUGUCGCAUCGCUAUCUGAUCUAGAAAAGCUUGGCCUGGCAGCGAACAAUUUUAGUGCAACAAUUCUUAAACAGCUUGGCAAGUGCUCAAAACUGAUAUUCUUGAAUAUGAGCAAGAAUAGAUUCACAGGGAGUAUUCCUGCCGAGAUGGGGUCUUUACAGUCUCUUCAAAGUCUUGAUCUCAGUUGGAAUUCCCUCAUGGGAGAUAUAGCGCCAAAGCUUGGACAGCUGCAGCAGCUAGAGUUUCUGAACCUCUCCCACAAUAUGCUGUCUGGUCUCAUUCCAACCAGUUUAAGUAGACUGCAAGGCCUCACUAAAGUGGAUGUAUCCUAUAACAAGCUGGAGGGUCCCAUUCCUGACAUCAAAGCCUUUCGCGAGGCACCAUUUGAAGCAAUUCGCAACAACACCAACCUGUGUGGCAAAGCAACUGGUUUGGAGGCUUGUUCUGCUCUCAUGAAAAACAAAACUGUGCAUAAGAAGGGCCCCAAAGUUGUCUUUUUGACAGUAUUUUCUCUGCUGGGUAGUUUGAUGGGCCUGAUUGUAGGUUUUCUUAUCUUUUUCCAAAGCAGAAGAAAGAAAAGGUUAGUGGAAACACCACAAAGAGAUGUUACCGCGAGAUGGUGCCCUGGUGGGGAUCUGCGCUACGAGGAUAUCAUUGAGGCAACUGAGGAAUUCGACUCCAAAUAUUGCAUUGGUACUGGAGGGUAUGGAGUUGUAUACAAAGCUGUACUUCCAUCAGAACAAUUCCUUGCCGUUAAGAAAUUCCACCAAACACCAGAAGUUGAGAUGAGCAGCUUGAAAGCUUUUAGAAGCGAGAUUGAUGUCUUAAUGGGUAUACGACAUCGAAACAUUGUGAAGCUGUAUGGUUUCUGCUCGCAUGCCAAACACUCUUUUUUGGUAUAUGAAUUUGUGGAAAAGGGAAGCUUAAGAAAGGUACUGAACGACGAGGAACAAGCAGGAAAGAUGGAUUGGGAUAAAAGGAUGAAUCUUAUCAAAGGCGUUGCCAAUGCUUUAUCCUACAUGCACCAUGACUGCUCCCCUCCGAUUAUUCAUAGAGACAUUUCCAGCAACAAUGUUCUUUUGGAUUCAGAAUAUGAGGCUCAUGUCUCUGACUUCGGCACAGCCAGGCUCUUAAUGCCUGACUCGUCCAAUUGGACAUCAUUUGCUGGCACCUUUGGGUACACAGCUCCAGGUAUGUAGUUAAGUUUCAAAUAUCACCUUCUACAUUAGGUUAGUUUACAGAAUCACUAGAAAACAAAAUAGGUGCAGUAAAUUAUUUUGGCAAAAUAUAGCAUGACCAGCCUCCUUUGCAGAGUUGGCGUACACAAUGAAAGUGGAUGAAAAAUGUGAUGUGUAUAGCUUUGGAGUAUUAACAUUGGAAGUAAUGAUGGGAAAGCAUCCUGGCGAUUUGAUCUCAUCUCUGAUGUUAUCUGCUUCCACCUCCUCAUCAUCACCAAUUGGUCACAAUACAGUCUUGAAGGACGUCUUAGACCAGCGCCUCCCACCUCCUGAAAACGAGCUUGCUGAUGGUGUGGCACAUGUUGCAAAACUGGCGUUUGCUUGCUUGCAGACCGAUCCUCACUAUCGGCCAACAAUGCGACAGGUUUCUACAGAGCUUACAACUCGAUGGCCUCCAUUGCCAAAGCUAUUCUCCACGAUGGAAUUGGAAGAUAUAAUGGUUCACAGAAAUGUUAUUGGCUGAAUUUUUACAGUAUACUUGGGCGUUUGUGAAAAGCAACUUGUUUGACAAAAUGUAAUAUUCAAUAAUCAAGUCUAUGUUAGAUAUUCCGUCCAAAGCAUCAUUUUAGAUGAACUUGGUGAAUGUCAUGAAUCAUGUAAUUUAUUGCCUUCAUUUGUAUCAAUUUCCUUUCUACUACAUAUUUGUUUUGGAGAGUAAUAAACAAUCCAAAUGCCAACACAAAGACCGUACAAUAUUGAUGAACAAAAUUUCCACAAUCAAACCAAACCCGUCCUGGAAAAUCAAAUAACGUCAUUUGUCACGUGAAAUUCCAUAUUUAUUCCUCUUAGAAAGAAACAAAUAAGUAAGACAAGCUCCUCAAGUACAGAAGCUAUGCAGAAAAGCUUUCAAACUUGCUUUUGAAAUAUUGCACAAAUCUUUAAAUCACACGUUGCAAAAACAUGUCAGGUCUUCACCUACAUAUUCUUGCAAAGCACCAAAUCUCUUACUCAUGAAGAUUCAAGUCUUCAAGUAUUAUUUUGUAAAGAAUUUACGAUGUACACAAUUUCAAUAAAAACAAAUAUUUUCUAGCCAGGAUUUGAAUCUAAAAACUUCGUAUUAAAAAUUCAAAACUACAAGGUCUUAACUCUUGAAUGGAUCGUCCCCCUAUCCGUGGUGUACUUCCCAGCCCUGUGAUAAGGAAUGCUGCUUCUGCUCAAAAACUCUGUUGUUAGCCCUCAAGCAAACUCUAACAGAACCCUAAUUGAAUAUAACAGCUGAAAACAUCCCAGUGAAGUGCUUGGGAUUCAAAAACUGAAGUCUAAUAAUAAUGGACUACUUGAAGCAAAGCAGAAGUUACGAGACACUCAUGAUGCGUCUGUUGUGGAUAAAAAGGCUGUUUCCGUAGAAAGCAAUUUUCAAGACGAAUAGGAACCUUGUGGCAGUUGAUUUGAAACAUAGGAAUUGGAAGGAUCAAAAUUCAGAAUGUCUGCAAAACAAUGAUUUUCAUAUUUAGAGUAGGGAUUGAGAAGGGAAUUCUGUUCUCUGUACUCUUGACAUCAUUGAUAAUAAUCUACAGCAGAUUUACUCCUGCACUUCAACGCAGCCACAUAAGCACCAUCCCAAACUGAAACACUACAAGGCAAUCAUCCAAUAGCAAACAAAAAUCAAUUAAAGAUGGCAAUAGACCAAAACCUCGUUCAAAUAAAAUUGACAGAUGAAUCAUAUAGCAGUCAAGGGAAAAUAUAAUUGAUAAAAUAUAGCUGAUUUUCUGCUUAAAUUGUGUCAGUGACUAACUUCAGUUGAAGGUUUUAAAGAGGGCAUCUGGAUAUGGGGAUUACUCUUCCUAUAUGGCUACUUGCUGAGUUACUGGAAUAGUAGUGAGUUUCUUGACAGGAAACCAACCAGGAAAUCAAAUAUAACAGAGACCAAACACAAAAUUUAGGGCAAUAGUAUGUAUCAGCAGGGAGAACCAAGCAUUUCCAGACAAAUGCAAAGUCUUUCGUUAUGGCAUUUGAUGCUUUUGUGGUCUCAAGCAUGAUCCACCUGGUGAUCCCAGAAGUUGUAAAGGCUUGUUGAAGAGACUUGCUUCACCUUCAAGUUUCAUUCUGACCAGCCAACUCAAAACUGUUGAUGUGAGCCAUCAGAGCAAUAAAAUUUCUUCAGCUUCUUUCUACAAUUUUAACAGCUCUUUUCCAUUUUUCUCAAGGUGUAAUUCCAGGAACAUAAGGGACAGCGGGCUUGGGCUUCUUUAUUUUUUCAACCAGCACAGCUUGAGUUGUUAGAACUAUCCCAGCAAUUGAGACAGCACUUUGAAGUGCACACCUAGAAACUCUACAAGGAUCUACCACCCCUGCAUUGAGAAGAUCUUCAUAUCUACCAGUCAUUGCAUUGUAACCAGUUCUCCAGUCACAAGAUCGAAUAUUCUCCACCACAACUGCUCCAUCAACCCCUGCAUUAGUUGCAAUUGUUUUUGCAGGUGCAAGAAGUGCCUGUAAUGCAUCAUUGGUAUGUGUUACUACAUGGGAGAAGAAAUUUCCCUUUAUAGUCAUUUAGAAACCCCUACUUGUAGGGUUUCUCCAUGCUACGCCCUGCAUUUAUAACCAUUUCACAAGGAUGUCCAACUUUAUCACUAAUUAUGAAAGGAACCUUGGUCCGUUUUACCAGUCUUGUGCAAUAAUCUGCUUUAGCACAAACGCUGCAUGGUAACUCAUUCACAAACGCUGCUUAUUUCUAUCUGAGACGCAACAAAUAACUUUUGAAAAAAGAAAGGAACCGAGAACAGACCUUUGCAACAAUAUCAGCACCAAUCUUCUCAUUUUCAUCUUUCAUGGAAUUUUUUAUUGAGAAGAUCUGCUCCGAGAGAUGUACAUGUGUUGCACCACCACCAGGUACUAUCCCUUCAUCCAUGGCAGCAAAUGUAGCAUUCUUUGCAUCUUCAAUUCUGAGUUUCCUAUCUUCAAGUUCUGUCUCCGUGUGUGCUCCUACCUAAAUUUGCAUGCUAAACAAGUUAAAUCUAAAGAUAACUUUAAAAUAAAACACCACCAAACAAAAUAUUAGAGUCCUGUCGUUUGUCUUAGUAUUUUUUAAGGAAAACAGGGCAGAAAAUUCAUCCCUGCUACUGAGCUAACGCCACUCAAGGAGCCCAUGUCGUUCGCAGUAAUUCUUCACACUUAUAGCCAGAUUUGUCAAGAUGCCCAUCUAUUUUUCCGAAAUAUAUUGUAUACAAGUUUAGCAAUUCUUUCUGAGAGCUUGAUCACAAACCUUGAUUACAGCCACACCACCAGAUAAUUUAGCAAUUCUCUCUGAGAGCUUUCUUGAAAGGGCAGCAUUAUCUGUUUCAGCGAGGUCCUUUUUUAUCUGAAGAAUUCUUGCCUGAAUUUCAGCUUUGGUAGCUGAGUCAGCAACUAUGGUUGUUGAAUUACUUGUUAUGGUAACUUUUCGUGCAAUGCCAAGUUGAUCCGAGGUUACACUUCCGAGUGUCAGCCCAAAAUCACCAGAGAGAAAAUCAGCACCUGAUGGUUUUGGUAUGGCAUGAAUUACACAGCAUAUCAGAUGCAAUGACCUUCCUAUGAUAGUCAUAUGAGAACAGAAUACAAUCUUGCGCAAGCAUCCAAGUAAAGAAUUUAUUAUUUGUAGUGCAUAAAAAGUAUUUAUAAUUUUUUUAAUUGAGGCCUCGGUAAUCAUCAAAGGAUUUUACAAUCUUAACAAAGCAUCCAAGUAAAACAUUUAUUGUUUCUAGUGCAUGAAAAAGAGUAAUAGUUCUUAUAAUUGAGGAGAGUAACGAUUCUUAUAUUUGAGACCUAGGUAAUUAUCAAAGGAUAUCUUAAUUAACAUGAUAUACUCAAGAGUUUAUGCACCUGCAAGGGUCAUACACAAACAUAUAAGAGCAUCCAGUGCACACAUAGGAAGGCUCGCAUAUGUAACACGAACCCAACUCAUGAGGAAGAUAAAUAAUUCAUUAACUGAUAUGUCAAUAUAUUUCAAUAUAGCAAAACUUAGAAUAACCAAUUUAAGUUGGAAAGAAAGAUGCAAUUUCACCUGUCAUAAGAGCAAUGUCUUGCAACAAUGCUUUCUUUCGAUCUCCAAAUCCAGGGCAUUUGACAACAGCAACAUUGAGCAAACCUUUCAUUUUGUUCAACACUAGUGUUUCCAAAACCAGCUUUGAGAUAUCCUCAGCAAUGAUUAACAAUGGGACACUGAGUUGGGUAGUCUUCUCCAACACAGGAACUAUUUCUUGGACAUUUGCAAUCUUCUGAUCCGUUACAAGGACUUUGGCCUUGUCAAACUCCACCAAAGAUUUUUCCUGGUUUGUGAUGAAUUGGGGUGACAUAUAACCCUUGUCAAACUGCAGAGAAAGAACACCAAACUUAACUGGAAAUGAAAACAUACAUACUUCAUAAACAGAGAAAAAGUUGAAAAAUUUAUCCACUCAUAGGAGGCAGAGUGUUUACACAAGUAUUGCUACCCUGUUACUGAAAAAACAAAAUAGUUAACCUGGAAAGUACAAAGAGCAGAAGCUCAACCAACCUAAAUAUUUACAGAUAAUGAAUGGUUUAACCAUUCAGACUAUGACUAAUGAUAUAACAUAAAAUCAUAAACUUCUAACAUAAACUUUGAUGUAAUGCCAAUUUUCCAGUGAUUUAUCUGACAGGAUUUUUCAAACCAUAUUGAGAACUAGCAGCUUAAUCACCUUCAUUCCUUCUUCUAUUAUCACAAAUGUAUCAGAGGUUGAAGAUGAUUCAAGAGAGAUUACUCCAUCAGAGCCAAUCUUCUCUAUAGUUUCAGCAAUUAGGUUCCCAACAAAUUCAUCAUUUCCAGCAGAAAUUGAAGCGACCGCUGCAAGGAGAAGAAAUUCUAGAUUGUAGUUUCCAAGUCAAAACGAUGGUUUUGAACAAAGUUUAAAUAAAGAUGGCAUAGAGACCUUUUAUAUUAUCCUUCCCUUUUACUGGAAAACUAUCCUUCUUCAACACUUUGACCAACUCUUUGACAGCCAUAUCCAUUCCUUUCUUUACAAAAACAGGGUUAGCCCCAAAACUGACUGCCAACAUCCCUGUUUUGAUCAUUUCACGAGCCAAAAUAAUAGCAGUAGUAGUGCCAUCUCCAGCCAUAUCAUUCAUUUUACUAGCAACCUGCAAUAAGUCACUUCAAUAUCACAUUUAUCAUCGAUCAACAUCAAAUAACACAUCAACAAAAUAUUAAGGAGAGGAUAAUGUAGCAACCAUGAAUGACCUCUUGGAUUAAAAUUGCUCCAAUAUUCUCCAUUGAAUCCGGAAGCUCUAUUGCACGAGCUAUUGUAACACCAUCAUUUACUACUUUUAGCGUCUUUGAAUCCGAAAGAACAACAUUACGACCUGCAUAGUUUCACAUCUUACUGACUUAACACCGUCACCAUCAAUAAAGACUGACAAUUUACUAUACAAUAAAUCAAAAAUGAUCUUUUUCUCUCAGAAUUAGUCCCUCUUAUGGUUGCACAAGGAAUUAUUUAAGUAGUAGUUUUAUUAUUUGAACAACAACAAUUACAAAUGUGUCGUCUUGUAAAACUUAUGCUUGAAGAACCAAAAUUUAAAAAACAAAGAAAAAUAUCCAUACAAAACAUGGAAAAGAAGCAUAACUCAGUUUACCUUUAGGCCCUAAAGUGAGAGAAACAGCAUCAGCAAGCUUAUCAAUUCCUGCCUGCAAGGCUUCUCUACAAUCUUUACCAAAAGAUAUCUUCUUUGGACCUGCUCUUACCACUAAUUUAUUCACUACUUGAUGGUUUCUCCAUAUCCCACUUGCUCUUUUGUUCCCACCAAGACUCUGCAACAAUAUUCCAUGUUUACGCAUCAAAAUCAAAACACUCAGACACCAUUGCUUCUCUCAUAACCCUUUGCUUCUCUCAGACUUUGCAAUAGCAUGUUCUUCGGCCCAUAACCUAGCAAGUCUAGAUUAUAUAUAUAAAAACCGUCAAAACCCUGUUAACUUUUUUUAAAAAGUAAAAACUUUAAAUAAUAUUUUUUUAUUUUUUAAAAAUAAUUUUUGAAGCCAAAUCAAGCUAUAGAUUAAACCCGCUCUCGAUUGAUUUUUGAAUUUAAUAAAUGUGUUUAUUUGGAAUUAAUUUAUGGAUUAAUAAUAUAUUAAGAAACUAGGUUCUUUCUAUUAAUAAUUAAAUCUAAAAACGGAUGGAUAUUUGAUAUAUAUAAAAAAUAGCAUUAUUAACCAUGUUUAUUUAGUAAACGUUAGUGGCUCAUGUGUUCCUGUUCACCGGUAGUUUAUUUAGUACAGAAUGUGUACAAAUUAAACCCAACAAAUAUAAUCACAUAAGCUAUAGAUUAAUGCAAGAAUGUACAAAUUCCAUGCACCAAACGGAAGAAUCAGACGGCAAAUACAAUCAUCACAGAUCACCUUAUAGCACGGUCGGCUAGAAGCCUCAUACCAUACAUACUAGUAGUAUAUAUAUAUAUAAUUUCUCUUAAAUGCAUUAAAUUAGAUAUAAUUAACUCAAAUAUUAAAACCUGAUUAGAAAGAAAUUUAACUCUAAAGAGCAAGAAUUUGUACCCAAUAUCUUAUUUGAGACAUCAGUCUUGUGAUUACGUGUUCUAAGAGAGACUCCAAAUUAAUUAACAAAUAGAAACUUAGCUUUGAGAUUAUUCUCCUUUAUCCGAAAGUGACACAUCUACCAAACCAAUUAAUUUAAUUUCAACUAUUAAAAUCAUACCAUGCCCCGUUUAAAAACACAACACUCAAACCAUAAGAUUUAACUAACUUAAUGAUUAAAGCCCUAAACACAUAAUUAUAAAACCAUUCUGUUGUCGGAUGGUGAUAAAACACCAAGAGAAUGUCAAACCGUAAAUCACGAUUAAUAAAUAAUCAAACACGUCAUUAACAUUAAUCAUCAUAAACUAUGAGCUUGUUGUUUUAUUGAUCCCCACAGCACUUAAUUUGGCGGUGUCCCUACUUGGCCCAACACUCUCUGGCGACAAAUAUCGGCUGAUGAUUCGUCUGAGCAAUAUUUUUUGGGGGCUGUUAAAUCUUGGAACAUGAACAUUGGCGUCGGUGAUCUACGAGGAAAUGGCAAGGAAAGUGAGAGUUUUGUUUUGCUACUAAAAUCGGCGACUUGCGCUAUAAUCUUGUUGACAAGAGAAUAUAUAAUUUUGGGACCCAAAAGGAGAGAAGCUCGUGCGGGAGGAGAAAUAAUUGAAAAUGAAAAUAAAAACAAGGGAUGAUUUGAUCGCCAUGGGAGGACCAGCUAGCUAGCCAUGAAUUGUGGGCUUCAAUUAUAUAGUAAGGAUUUGACACUAUUUCACGUCACUGGAGAAUGAGAGUGCAACCACUGCAUAAUUUUAGAUUACAGGAGGUUGAGAGGGUUGAUUGUUUAUUUUAAGUUUGACUUACUUCCAUUAUAUAUCUCUUAGCUUAUGAUCAAUAAUGUUUUUGUAGUGUUUGUUAGCAUGAGGGAAUAAACAGAGAGAAAGACCAGAACAGGAGGACACAACUCGAGGGGACGAACAACACAGGGGAGACCUGGAAACGCAAACAGAGGCGAAUGAACAGAAGCAAACCAGGAAAUAAAGAAAAAAGAAAGCAAAAGAAAAGCAAGAAGAGGGGAGGGUAACAUCAGCCAGAAAGAACAAGCCUCCUUCUUCAGCAGCCCCCUGAAACAGGUAAGCUUCCUUUCCCUUUGCAAAAUUCAAAUAAGUUCGGUACUGUGUGAAGGUAAUUAUAAUUACCUUCGCACUGUGCACAUAAUACGUGAAUAGUUAACGCAUGUCUGCCUCAGCCAGCCGGGUCACUGGCCUGGACCAGUGACCAGGCUGGGCUGGCUUUGUCCAGCCCGGCUUGUAUGGGCUGGGUCAAAUUCAUCCAAAAAAAAGAUGAGGCCCGGAUGGGCCUGGUUUCCAGCCCAAUUGGUUUUGGGUCUAGGGUGUGUUUAGCAAAACACACCUUUAUGUCUUAUCCCUUUUAUUUCAUCUUUUUUUUAUUUUGUUAUUUAGCCAAACAUGCCUUUUGAGAUAUCAGAAAAUUCUGAAAAUAUUUGUGGAUGUAUUUUUUUAGAUAUUUCACUCUAAUAUUGAUAUGUGGAUUUUUACUAUGAAAUGCAAAUCGGGUAUAUGAUAUAUUGUUUUCAUUUUAAAAAAUAAAAAAAAUAUGGAUGCAUUGAUUUAAAUUCAUUUUACUAGUUUAUUGACUAUUGUCAAAGUCAGAAAUAUUAUUUUUUUGCUAAAUAAUAUUUACCAACAUCAAAGUUAGAAAUAUCCGUAAUUGGAAAUUCACUAACGACAGAGUCAAAAAUAUUACAAGCAGACUAUUAUAACAUCAAUUAACAAAUUUUUUGCAAUUUAAGACAAAAUCAGUAAUGCAACUUACCUCGAGUAAGAUGCUUAAAGAGUGAUAAUAUCUUAUCUUUUCCGUAACUAUUUUCGUACUAUAAAAUUUUUAUUGAUCAAUUAUGAUUUUUAAUGAUUAUAAUAUUAGGUGGAAACUUUUUAAGGAUUUUUUUUCUAUAAAAAAAGUAAGAUGUGAAAAAUUUGUUUUUUUUUAAAUUAUUUAAAUUUUUAAAGUUGGUCGCGAUCCCACUAGGUGGGCAGCUUGCACCGAAAAAUUUGUCAACUUUCUUUAGAAAUAACAGGAUAUUAGAUGGACUUCUAUAGAUGCUGUUGGGUAAUCCGGUGGUGUUUUAGUCUUAUGGAAUGAUAACAACUUCAAAGUUGACUCCAAAGAAUAUGGGGGACAGUGGAUUGCUAUCUUUGGUGUUCAUUCUUCCUCAGAUUUUGCUUGUGCCGUAGUGGCCUUACAGUUCAUGUUAGCUGGUUCUAGAACAAGUGCUAUAAUAUUAUGUAAAAUUUGUAGAAUCAGUAGAAAGUGCUUAAGUAAAAUGAGGAAAACCUGGUGAAUGAUGGAUUUUUGUUUUUGAAGUUGAAGUUUCACAAUUAGAUAUUUCUUGCAAUAAUAGGGGAAGUCAAGCAAUGAAGUACUGUUUGGAUGAGGCAUCACCAGUUGUAAGAACAACUAGCUAAAUGAUUUCCCAGAAUCAUCAUCAGCUACGUCCUCAAUAUCUGAGCAAAUUUGGAAAAGGGAGGUUUACAGCGUGCCCACUGGGAGGCUGCUUUCUUUUCAAAUUAUUUUGAUCAAAUUUCUUUAUUUUAAAAAUUUCUCCGAGCUCUAGAGUGUUUAGACAAGAUGAUUAAAAUAAUGUUAAUCAAUCAAUUGUGAUCAAAUCAUGUAAGCCUGUCUGAAACCUGCAAAGUUCUCAUGAUUUGAUCACAAACCUGAAUGGAUGCAUUGCUUUCUUAUUUGUCACAGGUGCACAUUUGAUUGAAGGACUUGGUGCUGGCGUUCGUUGUACCUCCUGCUUUGGAUAAUGACCUGCUUAAUUGAUGAAGUUUCGCACUGGUUAAGAAAUUGAGUUUGUUGGCACAUAAAUUUCGAACCUGGAAUCAUGAUAUCUGUGGUUGUUAUAACUCAAUUUUUUUGAAUUUUUGAUUUUAUCUUAAUGUUUUUAAAAUUUUUCUUACUUUGUAAAAAAAUGAUAAUGAAAAAAUUAAAAAAAAUGAAAUGAAAAAAUAAAUAAAUUAAAAUUUGAGUUAAAACGAUAUAAAUUGAAAGUUUGAAAACUUAAUUAAAUUUUGGAUUAGUUUAAUCAAUUAAAUUAAAAGCUUAAUUGAAGAAUUGAUAAAUUUAAGAAUUUAUUAAAUUUAAAAUUAGUUCCAUUAAUAAAAUCAAGAAGUUAAUUAGAAAAUAUCAAAGUUUAAUGUUUUUUUUUUUUUAAAGAAGCUGUUAUUAUUAAGAAAGGCAUAAUUGUUAUAUGCAAUCAUUACACAUAGAAGAAGUUUGGUGAAUUAGCUAGCGAACCUACAUAACAUAAACCCUAGAUCAAUAAAAUCGAUCCACUAUCUGUUCCCUGCAUAGGAGCCAAAACAAAGCCCCAAACACCAUAAUCUGCAUUGGUUUAACAAAGUACCGAUAAAUUAUCUAUGAGGGUCAUAGCCAAGCCAUAAAAUCAGAUAUUUUGUGCACUCCUUGUUUAGUGAGAUGAUCUGCUAUGUGAUUGCUUUCCCGGGAAGAAUGAGUUUAAUGUUGAUUAUGGUGUUGAUUAUGAUCUGCCACAAAAUCAAAGUUUAAUGUUGAUUCUAGUUAAAAUUUGAUAUAGCAGUGGAAGGAUUGUCAGUAUCGUUUCAAAGAGCUUGCACAUCGGGCUAUUUAGCUUCUUUUUAUUAAAAUUCGAUUAUUACCCAAAAAAACAAAACAAGAAGAAGAAAAAGAAGUAAACUAUACUCAAAACGAAUAUUCAAUCUUCGUUGAUAGUACUGUUCAACCCCUCUUAGGACGCAAUUGAAUAUUCGAUCUUCUUACUUGUACCUGUCCAAAAGAAACUUGCCACUUGGUACAAACUUUUAUGCAAGAGUAACACCCAUACCCCUAGUCGACACCUCUCAAAACGAAAUUAAAUUUUUUGCUUCUUUUUUAAUAUAUAUAAAUGUUUAUUUUGAAAUAGCACAGUUAGAAAAAAAUAAUUAGCAAGAAAAUAAUAUAAAAUUGCAUUGAAGGAUGAUCACCCAGUGCAGAGGCUCAUAUAUAUUUUUUUUAAUCAUGGAAUAUAAUAAUUUUUUGAACCACAUAAUGGUGCAAAAUAAUAUAUCUCUGUACUUCAUUAAAAAAAAGUUGUCAGAAUGAGUCUGUAUUCAAGUAAUUGUGACAAAUACUUCAUUUCUCUUCUAGAAUGACAAUUUAUAUUAGUUUAUAACUUUAUACAUACUCCUUCUAAAACGCAAUUGAAUAUUCCAUCUUGAUGAAUGAUCAAGUCAAGGAAUGGGAGUAUACAAAAGUCUUCAUCUCUUAAUAAUAUUCAGAUUUCGUUUUUUUUUUUUAAUCAUAGAAUAUAAUAAUCUUAUUAAGCAGCAAAAUAAUACAUCUCUUAUAUUUCAUAAAAAAAUUAUCCGAGAAUGGAUCCAUAGCUAAAACCCUGAUGAACCAAGGCUAGAAGAGUCUGUUACAUGAUUUAUUAUUACUAAUUUAUUGUAACUGCCUAGCUCUAGAAUCUGUUCACAGCUGAUUUCCUCUUCUUCUGUAACCGUUUUCUAGAAACAAUAUAUAUAUAUGAUUUACUCACCUUAGAGAUAAAGUGAACAUAUAUUCUAAUUCCAACAUAAAUAUUCUAAUAAUCGUGACAAAUACUUCAUUUACCUUCUAGCCUACACAUGCUCCUGCUAUCACGCAAUUAAAUAUUCCAUCAACAUAAAUAUUGUUGGAAUAACAAUUUAAAUUAGUCUACACAUGCUCCUGCUAUCACGCAAUUAAUUAUUCCAUCUUGAGUCAAAGUAAAGUUAUAAAUAUUUUUAGUUGGAAACAAUUUUAUGGCUUCAAUCAAAACGUUAUCACUAAAGGAGUCGAGUUCUAAAUUAUACUAACUUAUUAUAAUACUUUCAUCAUCAAAACAAAUUGAUUUGAGUAGAUUAUUACCAAACACACUUCUAAUUUAUUUCCUGUUAGUUUCCGAUCGAUGAUGCCGCUUCUUCCCAACCCUUUGAAUCAUAGACGAGUCCAGUCAGUCCCUAAUCUUCUCUGGUGGCCUGACUUUGAAUCAUACAAGUCAAUUAUAAAAAAUAAUUUUAGAUAGAAAUGAAUUUCUACAAACAAAAUAAAAUCAAUUCAAAGAAGUCAUCAGAAUGGGUCCAUAGCGGAAACCCCAACACAAAUAUUAUAGUAAUCGUGACAAAUGCUUCAUUUCCCUUCUAGAGUGGCAAUUUAAAUUAGUCUACACGUACUCAUCCUAAGAUGCAAUUGAAUAUUCCAUCUUGAUUUAUAACUACCUGAUUUCUGGAUCUAUAAUCAGCACAUAGACAAGAUCUUUUUUUCAAAUAUUCUAAUAAUCGUGACAAAUACUUCAUUUUCCUUCUAGAGUGGCAAUUUAAAUUAGUCCACACGUACUCAUCCUGAGAUGCAAUUGAAUAUUCCAUCUUGAUUUAUAACGACUUGAUUUCUGGAUCUAUGAUCAACAAAUAAACAAGAUUUUUUUUCCAAAUAUUUUAAUAAUCAUGACAAAUACUUCAUUUCCCUUCUAGAAUGUCAAUUUAAAUUAGUCCACAUGUACUCAUCCUAAGAUGCAAUUGAAUAUUCCAUCUUGAUUUAUAACGACCUGAUUUCUGGAUAUAUGAUAAGUACAUAAAAGAGAUUUUUUUCCCAAAUAUUCUAAUAAUCAUGACAGAUACUUCAUUUCCCUUCUAGAAUGGCAAUUUAAAUUAGUCCACACGUAUUCAUCCUAAGAUGCAAUUGAAUAUUCCAUCUUGAUUUAUAACAACCUGAUUUUUGGAUCUAUGAUCGGCACAUAAACAAGAUCUUUUUUCAUGGUUUUAUAUCUAUACGAAUCAAAAUUUAUAUACGAACUUAUCCUUUAAAUAACUCAAUUAGAAUUAUUCGUAAUACUAAUAAUAAAAUUAACUUCAUAAUAUUAUUUGAUUGUCUUAAUACAAGAGUUAAAUACAAGCUCCUGUAAUUGUAGAUCACUAACUAGAUAUAAAAAAAAAAAUAUUAAUUACAACAGAAACAGGUUCUGAGGGUCCAGCAAAAAUAAUCUACUAACAAAUUAUAAAUCAAAAAAAUAUAAAUAAUGAAAGGGUGAGUUCAACAACUUCAUAAAUAGAUAACGUUCAUUAUACAUGUAUAACUAUUUGCUUGGAUGGAAUCGAAGUUCAAGUUGUCUGGAUGCAUAUACAUAUUCUUUUCCACAUGGUACCAUUUUAUUUAUUCCAAUAACCUAUACCGUCCAAAAUGAAUUAUUUCUUUGCCAUUCUUUUUUUUUUUUUAUGGAAAAAAAAAGAUUCUGUCUCGGGCAACGAAACCUGCUUUUAGCAAAGAUCCGGCUGCUGAGAUUUUUUUACUUUGUUCCCUUUAUAUACCUGAAUGCUUACAGAAAUAUUUAUCUUUACCUGGACGGCAAAUAAUAUGCCCUCGCGAAGACGGCACCCUGACUUGGUUGCAUUUUCUGUGAGAUAUUUGCUUGUUUUACAAAAAUAUUUGUGUUUUUAGGUACUAGUAAGCUAUAUAAUCCAAAAUAACUAUUCGUUGCCUUGCACUGGGGGUUUGAAAUUGCAUCCUAAAAGGCAUUUCUAAUUAAUUUGAAAAACAAAAUAAUUUAAUUUUUUUUUAAUAUUUCUUAACUGUUUAAAAGUGCUGAUAUAAAAUAUAAUUUUUAAAAAUUAAAAAUAUAUAUUAUUUUGAUGCAUUACAAGUGAAAACACGUUAUAAAACAAUUAUUACGACACUUUUAAACACCUCAUAAUAGUUAAGAAAAGAAAUAUAAUAAGAUUUGUAUAAGAAUAAUUAGAAGAUAUAAAAAAUAUUUAGUUUUUAUUUAUACAUAUUAAUUAAAAACUUAUUACAACCUUUUAUAUAGAAAAAAAAAAAAGAGAAGCUAUUAUUACUAAAAAGAAAAAAAAACUAUUUUCUUUAAAUAGAAAAAUUAUAAGAGCCUAAUAAUAUUGAAUAAAAAACUAAAAAAAAAUUCUAAAUUAAAAAAUUAAAAAUUAAAAAUUAAAAAAAAAGUUAUUUGACGUCAACUAGUGCAUUAAGAAAAUUUUUUAAAUGAAUCCUAAGAUUUAAACUCAAAGGAUAAAAAAGAAAAGGGAAUAAACAUCAUUAAUUAAUCACCAGAUCUUCCACCGUGAUUCAGGGAUUAAAGGAUGUCCUUGUUUUGCGUGGAUAAAUCACAAAUUAUCCCCAUCAAUUAUUUUUAGUUGAAUUGAUUUGAUUGAUCGAAAUGAACCGACAAAAGAAGUGAAAAGGAUUUAGCAAUAGGUUCCGAGCUAUUCAAUCUUCUUUCUUUGACCUGUCCAAAAGAAACUUACCACUCGAUGCAAACUUCCCAUAAUCUACAAACCUCUCAAGACGCAAUUAAGUUUAUGAAAAUAUUUUAAAACCUAGCAAACGACGAGCCCUAUAUUAAAAACUUUUUAUUAGGAUAAACAAAGCUAGAUAAUAACAACACACAGUAUCAGUGGCUCGAAUCUUAAAAAGAGUGGUUUAUAUUGAAGAAUAAAACUUGUGGAAAUAAAAGAACUAAUCGGCCACUGUUAUCUAAUCUUCCAUUAUCAGCUAGCUUAAUUGAUUUGGUUGAUCGAAAUGAACUGACAAGAGAAGUGAAAAGGAAUUAACAAUAGUCCAAAAUUAUGUGCCAAACUAUAGUACUGGGACGCCAUUGGAUAUUCAAACUAUAGUCUACACCUCUCAAUACGCAAUUAAGUUUUCUGCCUUUUGUUUUGGUUUUUAUUUUGAAAGAGCUCCCUUAGUGAAAAUAAGGAGCGCAUGGAGAGAAGAAUGGGCAAACUAGCAUGCUUUGGAGAGUAAUGCUAUUCUCGUUACCAUAAUCUAUUCAAUUUUAAGAUGUUGUGCUUCUGAUAUUUAAUGAGUUGCGUUGUUCUAAUAAUUCUCGUAACUUCGUCAUAAAAGGAGUUUUUCUUUCAUGACUUCAAGUUACCAUGACUCUAGUAAAAAAUAAUUCAUUUUCUGUAAAAUGAAUGGGCACACUACCAUGGCUCGUUUGUGUAAUAUUCCAUCCUUUUUUGUAAUGGUACAAAAGCAAAUAUUUACAAAAUUUCUAGUCAAGAUACUAAAAAUAACCCAGUUCAUUAGCUAUUGUGAUAAUGAUUACUUUUUAAAUUAGUUUUCUCUUGGAAAUACAUUUAAAUAUUUUUUUUAAAAAAAUUAUUUUUGAUAUCGAUACAUCAAAAUAAUCUAAAAACAUAAAAAAAUUAAUUAAUACAACAAAACUCUUGAUUUUUGUUUGGUAAAAAAAUUAAUUAAUACAACAUCAAAAUAAUUUAUUUUUUUUGUUUUAUAAUAAACAUAAAUGAAUUAUCAUAAGCUCUUGAUAUUUUUUUAUUGGUAAUGAUAAUAAACUUCUUUUCAGUAUUGACAAAUUAGUAUGCAACUAAGAAUCUUGAUGAUGUAAUAAAAACCACUCCUAUUAAUUUCCACAAACAAACCAAACUUAUCCUAAAAGGAGUGGCCAAUGCUUUCUAUUUUCUUAAAUAAUUGACAAAAUUUUCAAAUUUGAAAUUUGAUAGCGAAUGUCACCAUUGAUAGGUGAAGCCCAAAGACAAGGUUUUUUUUUUUUUUUUUUUCAAACAUAUAAUUGAAUAUUCCUUCUUCUCUUUUCUAUUCAAAAGGAAAUCUUACACACGCAGAUAUACGCUCUCUUGUGGACUGAAAAGUUUUUUAAAUAUUGUAGCUACAUUUAUUUAUAUUAUCUUUAUUAGUUUUAAGCAGAAAUAGUAAUAUCUUUAAUACUCAUGAAAAAUAAUCAACUUCAAGCAUUAAUAAAUUAUUUUUAAAAAUUUUCUUAUAACAUGGCCAAAUAAUAAAAACAAAUAUUUUAUUUUUCAUGAAAAAUAAUUUAUUUUUUAAUAAUUCUUUUUUUAUGAAAAUAUUUUAAAAACCAGCAAACGAUUCCUAAAUUAAAAGCUUUUUAUCAGAAUAUACAAAGCCAGAUACCAACAACACACAAUAUCACUGCCUCAAAUCUUAGAAAGAAUGGUUUAUAUUGAAGAAUAAAACUUCUGGCCGGAAAUAAAACAAACUGAUCGGCAAUUGUUACCUAAUCUUCCAUUAUUAGCUAACUGAAUUGAUUUGGUUGAUGGAAAUGAACCGACAAAAGAAGUGAAAAGGAAAUUUUAGGCAACAUAUCACGUAACCAUUGAAUAUUCAAUCUUCUUACUUUGACCUCUACAAACUAUAGUCUUCACCUCGCAAGACGCAAUUAAGUUUUCUGCGUUUUGUUUGGGUUUUUAUUUUGAAAGAGCACACUUUGUGAAAAUAAUAGCAAAGGAGCGCACAUGGAGAGAAAAAUGGGCAAACUUAAGAUGUUGUGCUUUUGAUGUUGCGUUAUUCUAAUCGACGUAACCUCGUCAUCUUGUAGCCAGGGCCACUUUUAUGAUAUGGACAGAGGAAGCCCGCACAUCACGGACAAUUUGGGCCACCUUCACCUGUUACAUCAACGUGUCAUUCUUAAAUUAAAAUUUAAAAUUAUAAUAAUUAUUAUUAUUGUUUAUAUAUUGACUUGCGUUGUCUUCCUUGCAUAUGAUUUAGGCCUUCUCUCGUUGAUCUUUUAGUCGAAUUUUAAACCUAUAAGAAUUAUUAUUUUAAUUUAUAUAUUAUCUCAAGUCACCUCAUGUCAACUCUCCCGAUCAGUGACUUGAAUUGUACCCCGGUCAAUUCUCGAGUCGGAUUUUAAAAUUAUAAUAAUAAUUUUUAUGAUAUAAUUUUACGAGUUAAUAUAUAUUUAUCAUGCAAAAUCACGUAAAAAAUACAAAAAAUAAUAAAUAGAACUGAAACCGUGUAAAAUCAAUAACAUAAGAAAAAGUCAUGAUUUUACGAUCUUACAAAUAAUUCCAAAUUCUUAUCUUUCUCAUUGAAUAUCCUUGUGUUUACUCCCUAAUGCACCAGCCCCACAAGCACUUGUAUCAAUGGAUUCUUUCUUUAAUUAAUAGUACAAGGAUGAAGGAAAUAUAAUCUUGCUGAAACCCUUUUUAAUAAAUAAAAAAUUGUCUAUUAUGAGACAAGAUUUUGAAUAUUUUUAUUCUAUAGGGAUAUUUUUAUAAAUAAGAGUAACAGACCAUGCUCUAAAGUCUGAUCUAUUAUAUGGUUAUGCCGAAAUACCAUAAUUUUUUUAACAAGUUUACAUCAUUAUGACUUCUCUAUAAAAAAUCUCAUAACUUGUCUAAUAUAUGAUCUAACAAGCAACCAAACUUCAAGAUUUUAAAAAAGAAAUAUCUAACUUUGAAUUGUUUGAUUCUUUCAUUUUAGUUCAUACAAAGCAUAAAACUCUUUAUUGAUCUACUUGUUGAGAUUUAUGAUAUGUAACAAAUAAUAUCUGAAAUUUAUGAAAAUUUAACAAUAUCUAAAAGAAAGCAUAAUGCGUUUUUGUCUUUACUGUCUUCAUCUUUUUUUUUUUUUACAUAAUAAUAACAAAACACUAUCUUUUUAUUGUUAAAUUACGUUUUAUUAGGAUAAGAAAAUUUAUGUUUGUUAUUUAACAAGUAUAUUUAUGUUUGUUAUUUGGUAAAUAUAAUUAUAUUUCUUAAUUUGAAUUAUUAUGUAGGGGUAUGACAUUAAAAUUUAAUAUUUAUGUAUGAGUAUGUUUGAUGUUAAGUGUUUAUAUUUAUUUUCUAAUGCUUAAAGGAUAUAAAAGGAUAAUUGCCUAAACCCCAUUGUAAAAACAAUUGUCAUACAAAAAUCCCAAAUAUCUAACUCUUAAUCCAUUAACUAAUUUGUCAUUUUCAAUAUAUAUAAAAAAUUAUUUUAAGGUUUUAAAAAUAUCAAUAAAUUUUACUUAAUAAGCUUAUAUGUCAAUAAUAUUAUAUUUAAAAUAUUUAUAUUAUAUGUAUAGUUACGUUUUAUAAAACUAAUGUUCUAUAUAUAUUAGAUAAACUUGAAAAAAAAAAUUAAUAUUUUUUAUGAUAUAGAAAAAACAAUAAAAAUUGUUUUUUUAAUUUAUUUUUCUAAAAUGUAGGUUUCAAUAAAAUCACUUUUAAAACCAGUUAAUGAGGCCUAAAUCUAUUUUUUUUUAUUAGGAUAUACAGAACCAAAUACCAACACACAACACCAGGGUCUCACAUCAUAGACUUUUAGAAUGAGUGGUUCAUAUUGAAGAAUAAAAUUUCAGGAAAUAAAAUAAAUUACAGAUUGGUCUAAAUUAGAAAUUUCCUGCUAGUCUCCUCGGUUGCUUUCAUUUGAACUCUGAUUUUUUAGGAUCACUUCUCAAUAUCUUACUUACCUUAAUUGAUCUUCUAGCAAAAGGAUACUUCAUUUUUAACGAAGAUGCUGACUGGCUGGGUGGCUUCCUCUGCCUCCAACCCUCCAUCUUUAAUUGAUCUAUCUUCCUCGAUAGGUGGCACAAGUUUCUUCCCAUGGUGAACUGACUUUUUUGUAACAUAAAAAAAAAUGAUGUUAAAACAAUGUCAAUAUAUUUUUAAUAAAGAAAAUUCAUGACUUAACAUAUAAAAAGAAAAUAAAAAAUUUGGUUGAUUUGGUUAAUUCAUUAACUAUUUUCUUAAUUUUUUAUUUUUUAAAAUAAUUGUAUUUUAACCCUUUUUUAUAAAAUAAAAAAAAAAUUGAUCGACUUGAGUUAACUCAAGUUAACUCACCUGACUUGUGACUCGGUACUUGUCCUGAAUCGACUCCCGAGCCGAGUCUAAAAGCUUUGAGAAACAUCAUUAAGACCAGCUCCUUAAUUAAUAAAUAAAAUGUUGACUGGUGAAAUAAAUAAAAAAUUUAAUUAUUUAAAAGAAAAAAAUAACAAUUAGAAAAAUAAAAAUCUAAUUUGAAAAAAAAAUAAGAUGUCAACCUAAAAGUUCUAAUUAAGGGGUAAAAUUAAAAUUAAAAAUAAAAUUAAUAAAAGAAUCCAAAAAAAAAUAAGAGAUUGAGUACCAAAUUUGAAAAAAAAAAUCAAGAUUAGAAUCCAAAGAUAAAAAUUUAAAACAAAUUAAGAUUUGAUAAAAAAAAAAUUCAAAAUUAAUAUCGUCAAAUUUUUCAAAAUCAAAAUCCAUCUCCACCGAAUCUUACUCGUGCAUUUAUAAUGAAACAAAAUCUAUCAUUUCUUUCCCAUAUAUAUACGUAUGCGGGGCAAAUCAUUUUAUACAUCCUUUUUAAGAAAGUAAACCACCAAGGCCAUGGCUUCCCACAUCUUUCUCUUUUCCACACCUUUUUUGGUUUUUUCCUCACUUGCUUAUGCUUCCUUCUUUGCUUCUUUUGCUAACUCGGGUAGUACUGGAGCUGCUGAAGUAGCAAAUGGAAGGAAGGAAGCGGAAGCUCUUCUAGAAUGGAAAGUCACUCUUGACAACCAAAGCCAGUCUCUCCUGUCUUCUUGGGCUGGAGACAGCCCUUGCAACUGGUUCGGAAUCAGCUGCGACAAGUCCGGUAGUGUCAGCAACAUAAGUCUGUCCAAUUCUAGUUUGAGAGGUACGCUUAAUAGUCUCCGAUUCUCUUCCUUUCCUAACUUGAUUGAGCUUACCCUUUACAACAACUCGCUCUAUGGGUCCAUUCCUUCACAUAUAGGUAACCUUUCUAACCUCUCCAUCCUUUACUUGUCUUUCAAUAACCUUUCUGGCAACAUACCACCAGAAGUUGGAAAUUUAGUAUCUCUCACUUUUUUAAUUUUGUCAUCUAAUAAAUUAACUGGUACAAUACCAGUAUCUUUAGAAAAUUUAAAAAGCUUAUCUGUACUUAGCCUUUGGAAUAACAGUCUUUCUGGUCCCCUUACUAUUAUUGGAAACCUCACGAGAUCUCUCACCAUUUUAGAUUUAUCAUCUAAUAAACUAACCGGUACAAUACCAGCAUCUCUAGGCAAUUUAAAAAGCUUAUCUCAACUUUCCCUUGCAGACAACAAUCUUUUUGGUCCCAUUAUUUUUAUUGGAAACUUGACGAGAUCUCUCACCUUUUUAGAUUUAUCAUCUAAUAAACUAAUCGGUACAAUACCAGCGUCUCUAGGCAAUUUAAAAAGCUUAUCUCACCUUCACCUUCAGAAUAACAGUCUUUCUGGUCCCAUUACUUUAAUCAAAAACUUGACGAGAUCUCUAACCUUUUUAGAUUUAUCAUCUAAUAAACUAACCGGUACAAUACCAGCAUCUCUAGGCAAUUUAAAAAGCUUAUCUCAACUUUCCCUUGCAGACAACAAUCUUUUUGGUCCUGUUAUUUUUAUCGGAAACUUGACGAGAUCUCUCACCUAUUUAGAUUUAUCAUCUAAUAAACUUAGUGGUGCUAUUCCUGUUAGGUAUGUUGCCAUUACAUGUUCAACUAAUGGUGGCUACAACCAUUGACUUUGGUAGCCACCAUUGUUGAAGAAGAGAAGAAGUUGGCAGCAGCCUUUGUUGAAGAAGAGAGGAGUUUGGCAGCCACCAUUAAUGAUAAAGGAGCAAGAGAAGCCACCAUUAAUGCCUAUAAAAGAGGCAUGAUCUUAGAGAGCAAAGUGUGAGAGAAAACGUGAGUGUAAUAGAGAGAAAGAGUGAAUGGCAGCAGCCCUGCUGCCAUUGCAGCAAUGAGAGAUGGGAGUUGAGUGGAUGUGAUCCUCCUCCAUGUAUUUAUUGUAUCCUUUCUCUAAUCUCUAAAUGAUAUUGUCUCUCCCGUGGAUGUAGGCGGUUUUGCCGAACCACGUAAAAUAUUGUGUGUCAGUGAGCUUACCCCUCUAUGAGCAAUUAUCAGUACAUCACCGGUCGCCGGAAUUCCCAACAAUUGGUAUCAGAGCAUAUGGUUUUAGUGGUGUUUGAUUUUUUGCUCAAAAAUGAAAGUUGUCAAAAUGGUGUUUUGACCAUCCCACUGUGUAGAGGAGGAAGAGACGAAGCCACUGGUGAAAACCGCGUCCAAAUCGGACGUCGGAUAUGGCCGCACUCUCCAUCACUCUCCGGCAAGGUGUCUGCCCACGCGCCCCACGCGUGCCACGCGUCUUCUUCACCCGGAUGAGUUGACCCGACCCGAAUACCAGUUGAUCCAACCCAUGUGAACAGUAGGCAUGAACAGUGAUGCUAUCAUGAACAGUGACAUGCAAAAGGAUGACACCAGCAUGAUGCAAGGAUGACAUCAGCAUACACAGUCAGCAAGCCAUUGACUAGUCAACAGCCAUGUCAGCAUAGUGGGACCCACUGGCCAUGUCAUCAGCCGCGAGCCGAGCCAAGUUAAGCCGAGCCGAGCCGCGAGCCGAGGGAUAUGAUUCUGUUCAGCAGAGUCUACGUGCAACCGAAUCUGAGAUUGAAUCUGAGAUUGAAUCUGAGCCGUUUAUAAGGCCAGAAUUGUUUUGAUCAAAUCUUAGCCGUCUAAAGUGCGAUUUGGACGAUUCAAGACAUGUUUCCAGCUAAUUUGAUCAUUCCGGAUACAAUGGUAUGGUCCGAUCAUUGAGAUUCGAGACCAAAAAUGGCGGUGGUGAAUUAUUAAAGAGAGAUUGCCCGAUCAGGAGGUAUCUGAAGGUCAUCAUGGUGGUCGAUGGAGAUUAAGAAGAAGAAGGUGCACAUGUUUACCCAAUUACAUGUGCUGAACUGUUAAGUGAGAAAUGUAAUGCCUUGAUGGAAGGCAAAAUUGGGACACUCUGGACACCCGGUCAUGUGGACGAUUUGAGGUGGAGAGUGGAAAUUGACGAAGACCAAUCUUGACGAAUCUAAGCACUGGUAGUCUCGCUAAAUGUUGAGAAAUCAUGUAUUAAACCUGUAUAUUCCAGAUCACUUGUAAAGCAAAGCCGCAACAAAGCUAGCAAAUGGUUGUAUAUACGGAGAGACAGUACGAUGGAUAGAUAUGGCCUAAGAAGUUCUGUCUAGGAGAUUGGGUUUUAAGCGGGACCGUUGUGACCCCUCCAAUCUUUCCUGGGAACUUGCUUAGUGGAAUGAUUAUCCAUACGAUACUAUUUUCGUAUAUAUAACAGUUUGUAAUGAAAUGGUUGAAGACUAGCAGGAUGACGGCACAAGGGGAACAAUUGGGUUCCGCAUGAUCAAGGAUCUGAUGAAGUGGUGAUUUCUCCAAAGAAGGCAGAUUCGGUGACUGUGAUUUCUCGAGAGGAGAAUUGAUGAAGACCCUGAUAAUGGAAGAGAAAUACAGCAAGGGGAUAAAGAUUGGCACCCUAUUUUGACUUAGACAGGUGUUGUGACGGGAUGAGCUGCUGUCAAACAUAAGCAAGGAAUAGAGAGAAAUCUGGAGAACAAUAAUUGCACGAGGGCACACGAAGAUUGUGCAAGAGUACCCGAGGGAUCCAACGAGGUACUGUAAUGAGACAACAGGUGCAAGGAGAAGAAGUGUUCCCAGAUGAAGCUCAGAGCAGAGACUGUUAAAGUUUGUACAACAGAAAGUCUCUUAUGCUCUUGAUGAAGACAACAGGCGAAGACCUUUCCAAUGCAUGCAAAGAUGGAAAGAUGAGUUUGUUGCAGAGACACCUAAUUGAGGGGGUGCGAACGCCUGUGAUAAAAGGCGACCGCCUAUGAUGAAAGGUGAAGACACCAAAGAGAGUUGGUGUAGGUGAAGCUGUCAAGCAGAAAGGUGUAGAAGCUCCAAACAUAGAAAUCGAGGUGGAGGAUUGCGAGGAGUAUACCGCAAGUUUCUCUUUCUAUGUAGUUAGUGGCAGUAAUCUCUCCCAAGUCCACAUGGUGGUAGAGAAUCUUAGAGCCACUAGAGACAUCCCCGAUGAAGGAGGAUGUGGCCGUCUCAUGAUGACAGGUGGAGAUACCUCAGGAGAAGGUGUGAGGACCAUGUUAUGAGUCCAAGUUCAGACCGUCUCAUGACGACAGGCAAAGACACCUUAGAGAGAAGGUGUGAGGGCCAUGAGAGGAGCCCCAUUUCAGACCGCCGCAUGACGACGAGCGGAGACACCCGAGAAGAAGGUGUGUGGGCCAAGAUACGAGCCCAGUUCAGAACGCCCCAGAGCCAAUGUGAUGGCUGGAUAUGAGUGGACAAAUGGAUAGCCAAUGAAGUGGCUAUGAUGAGUAUGAAGACAAAUGCAGGAUUGACUUUCAUGGAUAUUGCCCCCAUGCUAAAGAUCAAUGAGCUAGAAGACAUUUGCCUUGGACAAUAAGUGUGUGACUUGUGGAGCAUUAAGACGCGGCUGCUAUGAAGGAGCAGAGGGCAUGCGCAGGUUCCGGGAACGAGUUGACUCUUAUCAAGGUGGUGAGCUCAGUAAUGGCAUUGUAAUACUCAGAGUAUGAAGACAUACAUGAAUCAACCUUUAAUGGGCUGCCCCCAUGGUUAAAGGUGGAGAGCUACCUGGACUCUUACGACUAAGAGCGAGAGACUCACGGAGAAGUAAGGCGUGGUUCCUAAGGUGGAACAGAGGGCAGGCACAACUCCUAGAUGAGUAGACUCUUGGAAGAGUGGUGAGCUCGUGAUCAUAUUGAGAUACUCAGAUAAUGACUGUCGCACUUGGGAAUAUUCGUUUGAGGGGGUGUUGUAAGCCUUAGUGUGAGGCUUGAUAAAUCAUUCCGGACCGAGCAUGGUUGAUUCGCUCGAAGGGGAAUGUAUCCCAGAGACAAGCGUUAACACUCUUCAGAUGUGAUGUGUGAGACCAUCUGGUUGAAGUGAUCCUUUGGUGUAAGCAAGGGUGUGCUUUGGUGACUCUGGUGAUUGAAAGGUUGGGCGAGUACCUGUAAACUUGGCCACAUAUGCUCUCAGAAUGGUAAGCUUGGAAGAGCUGCAAGAUGCAAGCUUGUGCUGAAAAAGCAAGCGGACAAUUGCCCCACAUGAAUGGCAAAGGGGGUGAUUGUUAGGUAUGUUGCCAUUACAUGUUCAACUAAUGGUGGCUACAACCAUUGACUUUGGUAGCCACCAUUGUUGAAGAAGAGAAGAAGUUGGCAGCAGCCUUUGUUGAAGAAGAGAGGAGUUUGGCAGCCACCAUUAAUGAUAAAGGAGCAAGAGAAGCCACCAUUAAUGCCUAUAAAAGAGGCAUGAUCUUAGAGAGCAAAGUGUGAGAGAAAACGUGAGUGUAAUAGAGAGAAAGAGAGAAUGGCAGCAGCCCUGCUGCCAUUGCAGCAAUGAGAGAUGGGAGUUGAGUGGAUGUGAUCCUCCUCCAUGUAUUUAUUGUAUCCUUUCUCUAAUCUCUAAAUGAUAUUGUCUCUCCCGUGGAUGUAGGCGGUUUUGCCGAACCACGUAAAAUAUUGUGUGUCAGUGAGCUUACCCCUCUAUGAGCAAUUAUCAGUACAUCACCGGUCGCCGGAAUUCCCAACAAUUCCUACGUCCAUAGGAAACUUAAGCAAAUUGUCUCAUCUUUACCUUUACAGCAACGAACUCUCUGGUUUCAUACCUAGGGAAGUAGGAAUGCUUGAACAUCUAUCUGCCCUGCAGUUGCUCUUUAAUAAUUUAGAAGGUCCAAUCCCUGCUUCCAUAGGAAACAUGAGAUCUCUCACCAGUUUACUUUUGUCAUAUAAUUAUCUAAUCGGUCCAAUACCAGCAUCUUUAGGAAACUUAGGAAACCUGACUACCCUUAACUUGUCAUUUAAUAAUAUAACUGGUCUCAUUCCUCCAGAAUUGAACAACCUUACACAUUUGUAUUCGUUACAAAUAUAUUCUAAUAGAUUGUCUGGUAAUCUUCCACGAGAUGUGUGCCUUGGUGGAUUACUUUCAUAUUUUUCAGCGUUUGAAAAUUAUUUCACGGGACCUAUCCCAAAAAGCUUGAGAAAUUGCAGCAGCUUGUUGAGACUCAGACUUGACAGAAACCAACUUCGUGGAAACAUAUCUGAAGCUUUUGGCACACAUCCUCAUUUGAACUACAUGGAUUUGAGUGAUAAUGAAUUGCACGGUGAACUUUCAUUGAAAUGGGAGCAGUUUAACAAUCUGACGGCCUUCAAGAUUUCUGGAAACAAGAUUUCUGGAGAAAUACCAGCAGCUCUUGGAAAGGCAACUCAUCUACAAGCACUUGACCUCUCGUCAAAUCAACUAGUUGGGAGAAUUCCCAAAGAAUUGGGAAAUUUGAAGUUGAUAGAACUUGCACUCAGCGAUAACAUACUUUCAGGUGAUAUUCCUUUUGAUGUCGCAUCGCUAUCUGAUCUUGAAAGGAUUGGCCUGGCUGCGAACAAUUUUAGUGCAACAAUUCUUAAGCAGCUUGGUACCUGUUCAAAACUGAUAUUUUUGAAUAUCAGCAAGAAUAGAUUGACAGGGAGUAUUCCAGCUGAGAUGGGGUCUUUACAGUCUCUUGAAAGUCUUGAUCUCAGUUUGAAUUCCCUGAUGGGAGGUAUAGCACCGGAGCUUGGACAGCUGCAGCGGCUAGAGGUAUUAAACCUCUCCCAUAAUAUGUUGUCUGGUCUAAUUCCAACCAGUUUUAGUAGACUGCAAGGCCUCACUAAGGUGGAUGUAUCCUAUAACAAGCUAGAGGGCCCCAUUCCUGACAUCAAAGCCUUUCGCGAGGCACCAUUUGAAGCAAUUCGCAACAACACCAACCUUUACUGUGCAAUGCUACUGUUUGGAGGCUUGUGCUCUCAUGAAAAACAAAACUGUGCACAAGAAGGCCCCAAAGUUGUCUUUUUGACUGUAUUUUCUCUGCUGGGUAGUUUGUUGGGCCUGAUUGUAGGUUUUCUUAUCUUUUUCCAAAGCAGAAAAAAAAAAGGUUAGUGGAAACACCACAAAGAGAUGUUACCGCGAGAUGGUGCCUGGUGGGGAUCUGCGCUACGAGGACAUCAUUGAGGCAACUGAGGAAUUCGACUCCAAAUAUUGCAUUGGUACUGGAGGGUAUGGAGUUGUAUACAAAGUGUACUUCCAUCAGAACAAGUCCUUGCCGUGAAGAAAUUCCACCAAACACCAGAAGUUGAGAUGAGCAGCUUGAAAGCUUUUAGAAGCGAGAUUGAUGUCUUAAUGGGUAUACGGCAUCGAAAAUUGUGAAGCUGUAUGGUUUCUGCUCGCAUGCCAAACACUCAUUUUUGGUAUAUGAAUUUGUGGAAAGGGAAGUUUAAGAAAGGUACUGAACGACGAGGAACAAGCAGGAAAGAUGGAUUGGGAUAAAAGGAUGAAUCUUAUCAAAGGCGUAGCCAAUGCUUUAUCCUACAUGCACCAUGACUGCUCCCUCCGAUUAUUCAUAGAGACAUUUCCAGCAACAAUGUUCUUUUGGAUUCAGAAUAUGAGGCUCAUGUCUCUGACUUCGGCACAGCCAGGCUCUUAAUGCCUGACUCGUCCAAUUGGACAUCAUUUGCUGGCACCUUUGGGUACACAGCUCCAGGUAUGUAGUUAAGUUUCAAUAUCACCUUCUAUAGUAGGUUAGUUUACAAAAUCACUUGAAAACAAAAUAGGUGCAGUAAAUUAUUUUGGCAAAAUAUAGCAUGACCAGCCUCUUUUGCAGAGUUGGCAUACACAAUGAAAGUGGAUGAAAAAUGUGAUGUUUAUAGCUUUGGAGUAUUAACAUUGGAAGUAAUGAUGGGAAAGCAUCCUGGCGAUUUCAUCUCAUCUCUGAUGUUUUCUGCUUCCACCUCCUCAUCAUCACCAAGCGGUCACAAUACACUCUUGAAGGAUGUUUUAGACCAGCGCCUGCCACCUCCUGAAAACGAGCUUGCGGACGGUGUGGCACACGUUGCAAAACUAGCGUUUGCUUGCUUGCAGACCGAUCCCCAUUAUCGGCCAACAAUGCGACAAGUUUCUACAGAGCUUACAACUCGUUCGCCACCAUUGCCAAAGCUAUUCUCCACGAUAGAAUUGGAAGAUGAACUGGUUCGCAGGAAUGUUAAAGGUUGAAUUUUUACAUAUACUUUCCUGUCAAGGAUCCAGGAGCUCAGCUGGUAAUAGAGUCCCACACCUUUCAUGAGGUGUUAUUAUCUGUCUUGGAUAUUCAGUCCAAAGUCUUACAUUUCGUCUAUUUAUUGUGUAUAUUAUAUGCAGAAACAAGAAACAGAGUUUUCCCAUUUCGAGCGUAAAUUCGCCAGGUGAAAUAUUUCACAUAUUUUUAGUUUUCUUUAGCAACAAUGGAAGAAAUCAACAUAUUUUCUCCUUUUUUUGUUUUCCAAUAAACGAUAAUGAAUUAUAAUAAGCUCUUGAUUUUAUUUUUUAAUUGGUAAUGAUAAUAAGCUUCUUUCAAUAUUGCCAAAUCAGUAAUACAACUAAAAAUCUUGAUGAUAUAAUAAAAACCACUCCCUUUCAUUUCCACAAUUAAAACAAACUUGUCCUAAAAGAAGUGGCCACUGCUUUCUGUUUUCUUAAAUAAUUGACAAAAUUUCCAAAUUUGAGAUUUCAUAGCGAAUAUCACCAGUUUUUUUUUUUUUUUUCAAAAGAAACUUCACUUCAAGAACGGCAAGCUAUAGUUGUCUAGCUACAAGCAAUUGAAUAUUCCUUCUUCUCUGUAACUAUUCAAAAGGAAAUUUUAGACAACAUAUCACGUAACUAUUCAUACACACACACACACACACAUAUAUGCACUCUUGUUGACUGAAAAAGACAACCACAACCAUAGCAUCAUUACCUAAGAAACCUUUCCCUGCUAAUCAGAUUCUUCUCGCAAGCAGGUGGCAAAACAAAAUUUAAUUAUCUAUUAUUCAUAUAUAAUAAAUUAUUUAAUAAUUUAAUUAUAUGUAUCAUGUUUUAAUUUAAAUAUUGUGAUAUCUAUUAUUACUAUAUUUAUUUUAUUUUCUUUAUUAAUUAUUUUCAAACAGAAAUAGUAAUAUCUCUUACACUCAUUAAAAAUACAUAACUCAAAUUUUAUAAAUUUUAAUAGUUUUUCAUAACCGGCGCUUAAAAUUUUUUAUUGAUUAAAAUUGAAUUUAAAUUGAAUAUUAUAAAACUAAAAUAAAAAAUAAAUACUGUAUUUAUUUUCUCGGUAUUUAUUGAAUUUAAAUUCUUAAUUAUUAUUUAUUUUUGAAAAACAAACUAUUUUAUCACUUAAUUUUUUAUAAAAAAUAUUUGCUUAAAAUUAAUAAGGGUGAAAAUAAUACAUAAUUUAACUUUAAUAAUAUCAUAAUGUUUUGACAAUUUGAAGUAUCUUGGUAUUCUUUGAUUUAAUUCGAGAGAUAAUUUUUUGUUUUAUUUGUUUCUGCUUUUACAUGUAGUUCAAGGGAUAUUUUUAGGUUGAAUGGUUGUUUAAAUUGAUGUUAGAGUUUACAUUUUUAAAUUGAAUAAUUAUUUUACAAUAAAUUUAAAACAUGAGGGUGAAUGUGAGAUGAUGUGUAACGACUACCAGACCUCACAACAUCAUCUACUGGAUCUUCAAGUUGAAUUUAUGUUCCCAGAAAUCAAAGAUGACCUUCACAUGCUAUCAGACAAUUUCGCCAUUGACAAUAGCAUCAGUUCAGAGUCUAAUGUAUGGGAAAAAAAUUGUGCAGCAAGGAUUUGGAUCUACCAGUGGAGUUGCUGUUCCCAGAAAUCAAAUAUGGUCUUCUCACGUCAGCAGACAGCCCUUCCAUUGGUAACAGCAUCAGUGCAGCGUGUAAUGCAUUGGAAAAGAAUUGUGAAGCACAAAUUUUGACAUAACAGGGGCAUCAAUUGAUCAGACAAAUCCUGCUCACCACAUGGUACUUAGAAGGAGUAGAAGAAAAGUUAAACUUCAAUCCAAAACCGGCAGCAUUCAAGAAACAGUGCAAAUGAUGGUUCUUGGACAUUGUUGCCUUGUUUAUUCGCCACCUUCAUGACAUCAAAUAUAUGGAAUAGUACUGGCUUCAAUGUUGAUACAGGGGGCUUCAACAACAAUAUCCAUUGUCUGGCAAGGUUUGUUUUUCUUGUCCCGCCAUAUUGUUGAAUUGAUGGGUCUGGAUAUACUCCUGAACACAAGAAGUUCAAUGCUUCUUCGAACAUGUAUUGCAUACGAGCUAUUGAUCUGAAGUCAGUGGCCCAUAACUCGCAUUUCUAUCCAAAUUAUUUUUGAUUGGGUGACUGGCCAUCUCCCAUUUAACUAUCAUAUUUAAAUUCUGAACUGAACCAAGGUCUACUGCAUUUGCUACUAAUCAUGGUAUAUUCUGUUAUGAGGUCUUAAGAGGAAGUAUUUAACUCUUCUUGCCUUCUCUGUCUCACCCGCCGGGAAACUUUAUUCACAGUUAAUUUAGUAGGGUCAUGCAUUUGCCAUUUUUGUACUCCUAGUAAAUGAAAUGGUUUCUAUUAUCCAUUAUUAAUAUUAUAUUUUUCCUUACAAUUGAAUAUUCUUUGCAGGUGCAUGAGUGCUGUGAUUGCUGGCAGUGAGUUAGUGAGAUUGGAACGCGAACAUCAGCAGAGACAACAGUCUCUCUCUAAUGGCCAUCUUGAUGAGGCUUUGGAUCCUGAAAUACAUAGCCGUUUGUCUGCUGAAGCAAGUAUAAAGUCUGGAAUGCAGCUUUUUGUCAAAUUUGCAACUGGUAUUGUGCUAGAUUCUUGGAGUGAAGCCAAUAGGUAAACGUGGAAUGCCUGUCAUGCCCCUCACAUAAAUACACAGACAUGCACACAAGUUGCAUAUUUUCGUCGAUUUUUGCUUGCAUAAAAUCUCAUGGUAAUUAUUUUAAACCACAAGCAUCAUUCCUUAAAAACUCGAGUUAAAUCUCUAGGGUGGCUCCAUCAAUAAUUCUUUCAGUUCAAAUACUGAGAAAGGAAUGUUGAUCUGAAUAGUCUAUUUGAUUAUCUUUAUGACAUUUGUUUCCUUUCUCAUCAUUUCAUGUAUCUCAAUCUCCAUCUCCCCUUUCUGUGCAGAUCUAAUCUUGUAGCAAAGCUGAUUUUCUUGGACCAACUUUGUGAGAUCUCACCUUAUCUUCCAAGAAGCUCCCUCGAAGCCUAUGUUCCGUACGCAAUUCUCCGUUCAAUUUAUAGCCAGUACUACUCAAAUUCUCCAUCCAUGCCUCUGGCACUACUAAGUGUCUCAUCCCGCCAUUCACCUGCUGUAUCACUAUCUCACACAUCUCCUGCAGUGAAGCAGCCUCGUGGAGACUCAACACCACAGCAUGGUGUUAAUGAUUCAGGUUAUUUUAAGGGGUCAUCAUCCCAUAACCAGAACCAUUUGUACGAUAUGGAUAGAGGAAGCCUUCGCAGCACGGAUAAUAAACAUCGAAAUGUUCGCCGCUCUGGGCCUUUGGAUUAUAGUUCAAGCAGGUCGUAGGCUCAGCUUAUGGGAGCACAGGUCGUAGCCCACUACCACGGUUUGCUGUCUCAAGAUCCGGGCCUUUAAUGUAUAAGUAGAAAACGGUGAAAAUGGCAGGGUCAGGAGUGUUGAUAAAUUAUCAGCUCCUCGUCAAUCAGACAAGUUUUGCACCCUGUAAAUGUCAUAAUUCUUUGUUCUUAUGUUCCUCGUCGCGCUGCACCUAAUCAUAUAAAUGAAUGCCCUUUGCGAGAGGAAGAUGUCGUGAAUUUGGUUGCUCAGGCUGUAGAAUCAGCACUCCUCGACUUGUGCCAUUUAUGAUACACAAGCAGAUAGAAUUUUAUUAGGUGAAUCAGAUCCAUGGCCACCACAGUAGCCCCACUAUUUUCAGUACUUGAUGUCAUAAUCCAGGUAACCCUAAUUACAUGUCCAUGCUACACCUGAGCUUACAGCUCAAGUGGUACCCUGGCAAAAUAUAUAGCAAUGAUAAGAUAUUUGAUAAUUGUCACUUGCUGCAUCAAUUUCUAUGCCAUCAUUUUCUGAAGAAAAAAAAGGAUUAGAUUCGUAUGAGAUAUGGUAGGGACCAAAAGUUUGCGGUUCUGAUAAGCAGAGGUGUCAAAUUUGAAAUUAGGACAAACCUUAAAUUUACCAUUUGGUAUAUUUUAUUUCUAAAAAAUACAGCUUUUUUAGCUAUGUUGAAUUUAUCUUCAUCACUUCUUGUGACACGACUCUGGAGGUAGAUGUCAAGUAAAUCUAUUAAGAUAUAUUGGUGACGAAUAAUAUUUAACAUAAUGGCUUCAUAAUUCAAUGGCUUCCAUUGUCAAAGCCAUUUUCCAUGGCAGAAUUGAAAGAUGUGAUGAUUCACUCCCUUCAGUAAUAUUUGAAGACUGUUUAUAUAGCAGAUAUACUAAUAUUUGAAGACUGUUUAUAUAGCAGAUAUACUAACAGAAAAACCUCAAGUAAAAUCUUCAAGACAAGUUGAGUAUUGAAAAUACCUCCACACCAAUUUAUCAGUUAGAGAUCUCCUAUACAAGAUGGAAAUGAAUAUACACGCAAAGGAAAAUCGAUGAAAAGUAUUGCAUCACUACUCACUGAUCCUUAUGCAAAGCUGAAUAUGAAACUUAUUAAUUUUGCAGAAUAAUUAUCAUAUGAUGUUCAGCAGCACGUCAUUUGCCAAUACAUUCACAUCUCUCAUAUUUCUUUUAUUUAUUUAUUUAUUUUGAGCAUAUGAAUGUUAUUUGACAGUCACCUCAAUUUGUGGGGUUAGGUUCAUAUCCUACAAACUGUUCCGGGAACAUAAUUGUCAGAGAUUCUAAGAAAAUUGCUCUAAUGUAAAAGAAGAAGAAGAAGAAGAAGAAGAAGAAAAAGAAAGAAAUAAUAAUAAAAUAAAAAGAAAAGCAGGAAAAUCUUGCUUGCGCAAAAUCGCAAGUGAAACAUCAAAUUUUCGUGAGUUUCAUAGCCAAAACACAGCUGCUGAAGAUAACCAAAUACCAUAUUACUGCGUUUGAAAAAAAAAAACAGAAGCUAACGCAGAGCCAAAUACCAUCUAAUAGUCACAAAUCACUCUCUGAGCUGUAAGUUUGUUGGAUUGUUAUGCUUUGCUUUGCCUUUUCUUUUGCCAACAGAACCUUAUCUUGACUUCAUCUGCCUAGUAUCAUUGAUGACGUACUUGAUUUGCUUUUUCUUUAAGAGCUGUUUCUUUGCCUUUUCUUUUGCCAACAAAAUCAAUGGUGGUCAACAUCGAGUUGACUUGUAAAAUAGUAUAGUCAACUUAUAUUUAAUGUAUAAAAUUAGAUUAAAAUUUGAAAAUGAGUAAAAUUGGUUAAACUCAUUUAAUCUUGAUAAAAUUGGUACAUUUGGAUUGAUUUUACAAGUUUGAAAAAAAAGUAUAAAAUUAUAUAAUUUGGUAAUCUCUAUCUUAGCAUUUUUAUUAUUUCAAAUUUAUAUCUUACAAAACUUAUAUAAUUUAAUAAUCAAGAUUUUGAUUUUGACUAUAAUUAUUAUAAUUUUUUUUAAUGAUAUAAGUUAUAUAUCGAUUUUAUUUUUGUAAAAUGAAAAUACCUCUUUAUUUUUAACAGUUCCUUAUAUAAACUACUAAUAUAUCAAUAGACAUAUUCCUUCGUUUUAGUUGUCAAAUAUAUAGAAUAAAAAUUAUAAAUUAGCAUGCUUGAUUCUUGAAGUAAUUAAUAUUAAAUGACCUAUUAAAAUUUGAAAUGACUUGUUUUUUGUAAAUGACGAAGUAAGUGAGUUGAUUUGUCUAAAAAGUAGAGCAAUCAAUGUGAAAAAAAUUUAGUGUUUAGACUUUUCUAUUAUUUAUUUCAUUUUCAUUUUAAUUAUGCUAUAGUGUUAAUUAAUAUUUGACUGAAAUUAUUAAUAUAUAAUUAGUUAAAAUAUUUUAUUUUUUAUUUUAUGAUUUGAAUUUAUAAUUUGAGUCUAUUUAUUAUAUAUUCCGUGUCGUGUUAAAAAAAUAUUUUUAACAACCUGACAACCUUACUUUUGUGGGUAUGUCAUUUAGAAAUAUGAAUCACAAUAAUGGAAGAAUGCAAAUUCCAAAUCUGAGAAAUCAAAGAAAAUGUCACUGUGCUUGAAUUCCAAGCCAAGGAGACCAAAACGUCAACUCUGGCAACAAUGGCAAAAUAUCAAAGAAAAUGUAUUCAGCCUCUAUAAUGGAUGCAUUAUAUAAUGUCACUGUGCUUGGACCUGAGGCCAAAUGUGUAAAGAGCUUUCCAAAUGUUUAUUGGAUGCAUUUGUCUGAGUUCUAUAUAUCCCUCCAUUUGAUCUAGUGGGAGACACAUAAAAUGUUUAAAUUUUAUUUAUUAAAGUUUUGUUUUUAUUGAAAGGUUAUUAAAAAAAUAGAAAACUUUAAUAAUACCGAAUAAAUUAUUAGUCUUGGUUUUGCACUUUUGCAUUUUUUUCUCUCGUGAUUGCACCUUUAUUGGUAUAAAUUAUUCGCCCUAUCCUAAAGUCUUGUACGUAGUGGGAUGACUUGUGAUUGACUUGAAUAUCUACAGCUCAGUACUGGCGGCCAAUGCUCCUAAUUUUCUUUCUGCAAGUUUUCAUCCAAUAUUCUUUGCGCUAAUUGUUUCUCUAAAAAAAUUAACAGAAAAAGAUAACAAAAUAAAGAAAUCUUCCAAAGAAACUUUUCAAAGUGGAUUCAUUUGAUUGAUAAAAGACCAAAGAAAGGAAGAAGGAUAUAACAAAAACAUUAACAUCGUGAAUGGAAGACAUCACCGUAGGUCCAUCCAUAGCUGAAACUAGAAGACAUCCAAGAAUGGAAGAAGCUGGUCUAGUGAUAAAAAUCUGGAAUUAAAAGGUUUGCUUCCCCUAUAAUUUCAGGUUCAAGCCCUAUAAUUUUUAAUAUUGAUGGUUACUGGAAGCUUAUUUGGUUGAUAACUUUAAGGCCCCUGAGUAUUAGUCGAGGAGCAUGCAAGCUGGUCCGGACACCUCACGUGAAUUAAAAAAAAAAUAAAAAAUGGACUUGACCAGUCCGAGUUUUAACUGGUCAAGUCUUAGGUUUGCUUUCUAAUGGUCACGAGUUCGAGUUUUUUUAAAACUACUGAAAACUUAUAUUAUCAUUAGUUUCAGAGUUCAUAAAAUUAGUCGAAAUACAUAUAAAUUGACCCGAAAACCAAGUUAGUAGCAAUAAUAAUAAAAAAAGAAUGGAAGACAUCCAAUUAAGACGCCGCUGUCUAUCUUCGAUCAUGACCAAGACAAACGAAUUCCUGCAAAAAGGGUAUUCCAACCUUAUGGCUCCCAUUAUAUACGUAUGCAGGGCUAAUCAUUUUAUACAUCCUCCUUAAGAAAGUAAACAACCAAGGCCAUGGCUUCCCAAAUCUUGCUCUUAUCCAUACCUUCCUUGUUUUUUUCCUUCCUUGCUUAUGCUUCCUUCUUUACUUCUUUUGCUUACUCGGCUGCCGGAGCUGAAAUAGCAAAUGGAAGGAAGGAAGCAGAAGCUCUUCUAGAAUGGAAAGUCAGUCUUGACAACCGAAGCCAGUCUCUCCUGUCUUCAUGGGCUGGAGACAGCCCUUGCAACUGGGUCGGAAUCAGUUGCGACAAGUCUGGUAGUGUUACCAACAUAAGCCUGCCUAAUUCUAGAUUGAGAGGCAGGCUUAAUAGUCUCAGAUUCUCUUCCUUUCCUAACUUGAUUGUGCUUAUCCUUCGCAACAACUCCCUCUAUGGGUCCGUUCCUUCACAUAUAGGUAACCUUUCUAACCUCUCCAUCCUUGACUUGUCUUACAAUAGCAUUUCUGGCAACAUUCCAUCAGAAAUAAGCACAAUGAAAAGCAUUAGAGUGUUUACCCUGUCUGUAAACCAUAUCGGUGGCUCCAUCCCUAAUGAAAUAGGAAUGUUGAGUUCACUUUCUCAAAUAAUUUGGCAUGAAAAUGAUCUCGGAGGAUUAGUGCAUGCGUCUAUAAGCAAUUUGAGCCACUUAACUGAUCUUUAUCUCAAUGGAAAUCAACUUUCUGGUGGCAUACCACCAGAAGUUGGAAAAUUGAGAUCUCUUGAUUUGCUUGAUUUGUCAAAUAACAACCUUAGUGGUGUUCUUCCUACGUCCAUAGGAAACUUAAGCAACUUGUCUUUUCUUUACCUUUACAAAAACAACUCUCUGGUUUCUUACCUAGAGAAGUAGGGCUUGAAGACCUAUUAACCCUUCAGUUGUCCGAUAAUAAUUUUGAAGGUCCAAUCCCUACUUCCAUAGGAAAUAUGAAAUCUCUCAAUUUCCUUCAAUUAAAACAAAAUUUUCUCACUGGUAAAAUACCUGCGUCUAUUGGAAACCUCACGAGAUAUCUCACUUCUUUAGAUUUGUCAUAUAAUAAUCUAAAUGGUACAAUACCAGCAUCUUUAGGAAAUUUAAUAAUCUUAUCUAAACUUCUCCUUGCGAAUAACAGUCUUUUUGGUCCCAUUCCUCCAGAAAUGAACAAUCUUACACAUUUAUAUUUGUUACAAAUAUAUUCUAAUAGAUUGUCUGGUAAUCUACCACGAGAUGUGUGCCUUGGUGGAUUACUUUCAUAUUUUAGUGCGUUGGGCAAUUAUUUCACGGGACCUAUCCCAAAAAGCUUGAGAAAUUGCAGCAGCUUGUUGAGACUCAGACUUGAGAGAAACCAGCUUAGUGGAAACAUAUCUGAAGCUUUUGGCACACAUCCCUAUUUGUACUACAUGGGUUUGAGUGAUAAUGAAUUGCAUGGUGAACUUUCAUGGAAAUGGGAUCAGUUUAACAAUCUGACAGUCUUCAAAAUUUCUGGAAACAAAAUCUCUGGAAUAAUACCAGCUGCUCUUGGAAAGGCAACUCAUCUACAAGUUCUUGACCUCUCGUCAAAUCAACUAGUUGGGAGAAUUCCAAAAGAAUUGGGAAAUUUAAAGUUAAUUGAACUUGCACUCAACGAUAACAAC
Molecule: long non-coding RNA, 36390 nt
Filed under: Populus tremula
Lineage: Eukaryota; Viridiplantae; Streptophyta; Magnoliopsida; Malpighiales; Salicaceae
Description: long non-coding RNA (PTRE_LNC001030)
Source: RNAcentral